UACGUAGGUGGCAAGCGUUAUCCGGAAUUAUUGGGCGUAAAGAGCGCGCAGGUGGUUAAUUAAGUCUGAUGUGAAAGCCCACGGCUUAACCGUGGAGGGUCAUUGGAAACUGGUUGACUUGAGUGCAGAAGAGGGAAGUGGAAUUCCAUGUGUGGCGGUGAAAUGCGUAGAGAUAUGGAGGAACACCAGUGGCGAAGGCGGCUUCCUGGUCUGCAACUGACACUGAGGCGCGAAAGCGUGGGGAGCAAACAGG
This 253-nucleotide ribosomal RNA is filed under the name uncultured bacterium. RNAcentral describes it as "partial 16S ribosomal RNA". It matches the Rfam family "Bacterial small subunit ribosomal RNA", at positions 524 to 776 of the family's 1533-position model. The record is from RNAcentral.